CCUACGGGAGGCAGCAGUGGGGAAUAUUGGACAAUGGGGGCAACCCUGAUCCAGCCAUGCCGCGUGUGUGAAGAAGGCCCUCGGGUUGUAAAGCACUUUCAGUGAGGAAGAACGCCUGGUGGUUAAUACCCAUCAGGAAAGACAUCACUCACAGAAGAAGCACCGGCUAACCCCGUGCCAGCAGCCGCGGUAAUACGGAGGGUGCGAGCGUUAAUCGGAAUUACUGGGCGUAAAGCGCGCGUAGGUGGCUUGAUAAGCCGGUUGUGAAAGCCCCGGGCUCAACCUGGGAACGGCAUCCGGAACUGUCGAGCUAGAGGGCAGGAGAGGGAGGUAGAAUUCCCGGUGUAGCGGUGAAAUGCGUAGAGAUCGGGAGGAAGACCAGUGGCGAAGGCGGCCUUCUGGACUGACACUGACACUGAGGUGCGAAAGCGUGGGUAGCAAACAGGAUUAGAUACCCUGGUAGUC
This 465-nucleotide ribosomal RNA is filed under the name Vreelandella stevensii. RNAcentral's name for it is "partial 16S ribosomal RNA". It matches the Rfam family "Bacterial small subunit ribosomal RNA", at positions 338 to 795 of the family's 1533-position model. Lineage: Bacteria; Pseudomonadati; Pseudomonadota; Gammaproteobacteria; Oceanospirillales; Halomonadaceae. The record is from RNAcentral.